RNAcentral lists this ribosomal RNA (350 nucleotides) under uncultured Acidobacteriota bacterium. RNAcentral's name for it is "bacterial SSU rRNA". It matches the Rfam family "Bacterial small subunit ribosomal RNA", at positions 1 to 343 of the family's 1533-position model. The record is from RNAcentral. Lineage: Bacteria; Pseudomonadati; Acidobacteriota.
UAGCGUUUGAUCCUGGUUCAGAAUCAAGCGCUGGCGGCGUGCCUAACACAUGCAAGUCGAACGCGAAAGGGGCUUCGGCCCUGAGUAGAGUGGCAAACGGGUGAGUAACACGUGGGUGACCUGCCUUCGAGUGGGGGAUAACGUCCCGAAAGGGACGCUAAUACCGCAUGACAUCCUGCCUUUGGACAGGCGGAGAUCAAAGCCGGGGAUCGCAAGACCUGGCGCUCGCAGAGGGGCCCGCGCCUGAUUAGCUAGUUGGUGGGGUAACGGCCUACCAAGGCGACGAUCAGUAUCCGGCCUGAGAGGGCGGACGGACACACUGGGACUGAGACACGGCCCACACUCCUACG